Molecule: ribosomal RNA, 110 nt
Filed under: Candidatus Kaiserbacteria bacterium CG10_big_fil_rev_8_21_14_0_10_47_16
Lineage: Bacteria; Candidatus Kaiseribacteriota
Source: RNAcentral
GUUGGUGAUUCAGCAGGUGGGGUACACCCGUUCUCAUUCCGAACACGGAAGUUAAGCCACUAUGCACCGAUGGUACUCCUUUAUUGGGGGAGAGUAGGCCGUCGCCAACU